This 426-nucleotide ribosomal RNA is filed under the name Triticum aestivum (bread wheat). Its description in RNAcentral is "partial small subunit ribosomal RNA". The record is from RNAcentral. Lineage: Eukaryota; Viridiplantae; Streptophyta; Magnoliopsida; Poales; Poaceae.
AUGCUGAUGGGCUUUUGGAAUCACUUGAUUAUGAAUCAUUUUGAUGCUUGCGAACCAUGCCUCAUGGGCAAGAUGACUAAGACUCCGUUCUCCGCAACAAUGGAGCAAACAACUAACUUAUUGGAAAUAAUACAUACUGAUGUAUGCGGUCCGAUGAGUGUUGAGGCUCGCGGCGGGUAUCAUUAUUUUCUGACCUUCACAGAUUAUUUGAGCAGAUAUGGGUAUAUCUACUUAAUGAAACAUAAGUUUGAAACAUUUGAAAAGUUCAAAGAACUUCAGAGUGAAGUGGAAAAUCAUCGUGACAAGAAAAUAAAGUUUCUACGAUAUGAUCGCAGAGACAAAUAUUUGAGUUACGAGUUUGGUCUUCAAUUAAAACAAUGUGGAAUAGUUUCACAAAAUUGUGCCACCUGGAACACCACAGUGUAA